AACGAACGCUGGCGGCAGGCUUAACACAUGCAAGUCGAACGGGCGCAGCAAUGCGUCAGUGGCAGACGGGUGAGUAACACGUGGGAACCUUCCUUAAGGUACGGGACAACUCAGGGAAACUUGAGCUAAUACCGUAUACGUCCGAGAGGAGAAAGAUUUAUCGCCUUUAGACGGGCCCGCGUCGGAUUAGCUAGUUGGUGGGGUAACGGCCUACCAAGGCGACGAUCCGUAGCUGAUCUGAGAGGAUGAUCAGCCACACUGGGACUGAGACACGGCCCAGACUCCUACGGGAGGCAGCAGUGGGGAAUCUUGGACAAUGGGGGAAACCCUGAUCCAGCCAUGCCGCGUGAGUGAAGAAGGCCUUAGGGUUGUAAAGCUCUUUUGCCAGGGACGAUAAUGACGGUA
This 405-nucleotide ribosomal RNA is filed under the name uncultured bacterium. RNAcentral describes it as "bacterial SSU rRNA". It matches the Rfam family "Bacterial small subunit ribosomal RNA", at positions 29 to 477 of the family's 1533-position model. The record is from RNAcentral.